AGGACGAACGCUGGCGGCGUGCCUAAUGCAUGCAAGUCGAGCGACGAAUAGGUGAGGGUAACCAAGCCUAUUACGGAGCGGCGAACGGGUGAGUAACACGUGAGCAACCUGCCCCGAAGACCGGGAUAGCCCAGGGAAACUUGGAUUAAUACCGGAUAUCCUCUUUUGAUCGCAUGGUCGUUGGAGGAAAUGCUUUUACGCUUCGGGAUGGGCUCGCGGCCUAUCAGCUUGUUGGUGGGUAAUGGCCUACCAAGGCGACGACGGGUAGCCGACCUGAGAGGGUGACCGGCCACACUGGGACUGAGACACGGCCCAGACUCCUACGGGAGGCAGCAGUGGGGAAUAUUGGCACAAUGGGCGAAAGCCUGAUGCAGCAACGCCGCGUGAGGGACGACGGCCGUUCGGGUGUAACCUCUUUAGCGAGGAGAAGCGAAGUGACGGUACCUGACGAGAAAAGCCACCGGACUAACUACGUGCCGAGCACGCCGC
This 489-nucleotide ribosomal RNA is filed under the name uncultured soil bacterium. RNAcentral describes it as "bacterial SSU rRNA". It matches the Rfam family "Bacterial small subunit ribosomal RNA", at positions 26 to 518 of the family's 1533-position model. The record is from RNAcentral.